Molecule: non-coding RNA, 339 nt
Organism: Paramormyrops kingsleyae
Lineage: Eukaryota; Metazoa; Chordata; Actinopteri; Osteoglossiformes; Mormyridae
Source: RefSeq, a predicted model, not a curated record
GUCAGCUAGAGGGUCAGUCCUAUAGAGAGACACGGUUCUGGAGCACAGGAGGAGAGGAGGACCGGAGGUACUGGACUCAGCAGGGCAGGACGAUCAGGAACGGGUUCGGGACUGAGGACGGAAUGCACUAAAGAGCCCUGAAGGUGUGAGGUUACUGAAUCAGCAAAGUGGGGAUUCACAGUCCUUAGGCGUUUUGGUGAGGCCUCAUCAGAAGGCAUUGCGAACCAUGGAAGCUGAAGUAUCAGCAACAACUGCAUCAGGUGACUUCCCUGCAAAGUCAGCAGGCUGGCAGGGUGGGGAGCGUAAAGAGGAUUUACCAUGGGGGUCAAUAAAGUAUCC